UCAAUUUUGGAAACUGGUUUUUUCAACCGUUGGAGGCACCCUUAGUUCGAGCUCGAUUCGUAUUCGGUUCGUUAAUUAUUCGUUUAUCUCGAGCUCGAACUCGGCUCGAAUUUGGCUCGAUUUUGGAGCUCGAUUUUAAAUUCGAAUUCAGGAGAAUUGGAGAAUUGUGGCUCUUUCACUGACGCAACUUACGCGGUGUGGUGUGAGCGGGGUCGGGAACGAAUGAAGGAGGUGGUGCUGUUGUUGUAGAGUGGAUGGCGCCACUGCUUCUGUUAUCGCCGACUCGCCGAGAGAUAGGAGAAUUGUGGCUCUUUCACUGACGCGCCCGACUGAGACAGAGGAAGGCGGCGGAGCUGUUGUUGUAGAGGAGAAGGCGGCGCUGUGAACUGACGACGCUGUCGCCGAGAGAGAAGAGAUGUGCGGUGGCUGAAUUUUGAAGUUGUAGAGGAGAUGUGCGGCGCAGCGGAGCUGUUGUCGAGAAUUCAAAUUGAAGUCUGUAGGGUUAGGGAAGGAAUAGCCGAAUAGGAUUCUAAUUCAAUUUUGUUAGAAUUAAAGUUAAG
This 560-nucleotide long non-coding RNA is filed under the name Salvia miltiorrhiza (redroot sage). RNAcentral describes it as "long non-coding RNA (SMIL_LNC010539)". Lineage: Eukaryota; Viridiplantae; Streptophyta; Magnoliopsida; Lamiales; Lamiaceae. The record is from RNAcentral.